AAGGCCUGGAAAGAAGAGCACUGUGUCUCUUGCUCUGCUCUCCUUGCAUAUGCCAAAGGAGACCCACAGCCAUGAGGACACUCACUCUGCUCAUCACCCUUCUCCUGCUGGCCCUCCACACCCAGGCAGAGUCUCCCCAAGAAAGAGCUAAGGCGGCUCCAGACCAGGAUAUGGUCAUGGAGGACCAGGAUAUUUUCAUAUCCUUUGGAGGGUAUAAAGGCACUGUUCUCCAAGAUGCAGUUGUGAAGGCAGGUCAAGCCUGCUAUUGCAGAAUCGGAGCCUGUGUUUCUGGAGAACGGCUCACUGGGGCAUGUGGUCUCAAUGGCCGCAUCUACCGUCUCUGUUGCCGCUGAGCAAGAAGAAGGAGGAGGAGGAAGAGGAGGAGAAGGAGGAGAAGAAGCCAUUUGUCAUAUGACUUGAAGGAGACUGUUACUUGUCCCAUGUUAUGUCCUUGAGUUUUCUCUUUCUUUAUAUCCAAAUAAAUUUCUUAUAGCAAGUU
Molecule: long non-coding RNA, 499 nt
Filed under: Rattus norvegicus (Norway rat)
Lineage: Eukaryota; Metazoa; Chordata; Mammalia; Rodentia; Muridae
Description: long non-coding RNA NONRATT012104
Source: RNAcentral